CAGUUAAUGGCUCAUACCAGCAAGCCCUGGACUUCAGCCGGCACGUGUGGCUGAAUUUUAAGAAGGUGAAUGACCUUGCAGCUUUGAGCUCUAACUUUGUACUUUUACCUAUUUGUACCUGGCUGUCCAUUUAAAAAAAAAAAUCCAGAAACGUCUACUUGAGACACUGGAGACUAAGUUCUGUCCUUUGUGGAGAAAGCACCCAACGAAUAUGUCUAAAGACAGGCAACACCAGCACCCUACUUCUGCAGUCCUACCUUUCUACCUGGAAAGUUACUGGAAAAUAAAAGAAAGAUGACAACCAUAUUCCCAAACAGGCGAGCUUUACCGGGAAUACCGAGAAAGUGCCAUGUGCUCUAACUGAACAGGAAAAGGCACCAUCCCUACAGGGAAGUUAAGUAAAUGGAUGCUGAGCAGGCUACAGUUUGUGCUGCAUCAGCCCCUAGUUCUUGCUUUAAGAGAACUUGUGAAAAGUGACAGCUUUCCCAGGCCCAAAGAAGCACAUCUUUGAUUUUCAGAUUAGACACUGCUCAACUCAUGAAUUACUAAUAAAAGCCAAUUACAAAGUUAACAGAAAUUGGUUGAAAUGUUGUUGUAU
Meriones unguiculatus (Mongolian gerbil) is the source of this 598-nucleotide long non-coding RNA. RefSeq lists it as uncharacterized. Lineage: Eukaryota; Metazoa; Chordata; Mammalia; Rodentia; Muridae. The record is from RefSeq and is a predicted model, not a curated record. The transcript has 3 exons.